AACUUUUGGCAACGGCUCACUUGGCUCUGGCAUCGAUGAAGAACGCAGCGAAAUGCGAUAAGUAAUGUGAAUUGCAGAAUUCAGUGAAUCAUCGAAUCUUUGAACGCACAUUGCGCCCGCUAGUACUCUAGCGGGCAUGCCUGUUCGAGCGUCAUUUCAACCCUCAAGCCCUGCUUGGUGUUGGGGCCCUACGGCUGCCGUAGGCCCUGAAAGGAAGUGGCGGGCUCGCUGCAACUCCGAGCGUAGUAAUUCAUUAUCUCGCUAGGGAGGCGCGGCGCGCUCCUGCCGUUAAAGACCCCAUCUUUAACCAAGGUUGACCUCGGAUCAGGUAGGAAUACCCGCUGAACUUAAGCAUAUCAAUAAGCGGAGGCU
This 372-nucleotide unclassified non-coding RNA is filed under the name uncultured Coniochaetales. RNAcentral describes it as "sequence contains ITS2". The stretch from base 1 to 154 matches the Rfam family "5.8S ribosomal RNA". The record is from RNAcentral. Lineage: Eukaryota; Fungi; Ascomycota; Sordariomycetes; Coniochaetales.